UGGGGACGGGGGCGGGCGCGGGUGGGACGCGAACUGCCAACGGGAGCGCCGAGAGAGGGCCGGGAGGCGGGCUCUGCGGCCGGCCCGUCCACGGGGGAAAAGUUCAGCCAAUGGGCGCGCGCCCCUCAUCCCGGGCUCCGAAGCGCCCGCUUGGCCGCUCCUAUUCCGGCGGGUGGCCGCCCAGGGCCACGCCCGGCUGCCCGUCGCAAGGUGGGAGAAUGCGGCGAGGCCGGAGUGGGAGAGCGCGGGCAGCCAUUGUGGCGUGCUCCCGCGGCGCCUACGUGGAGUCCCGCGCCGGGUCCGUGAGAGGGGAGCCGCGGCUCUGUGGACUCCUGCAACCUCGGCGGGAUGCUUUUUAGCGAGGAAACCGAGCGUGCGUCUCGUCCAGCGCCGCGGACCAAUCGUGCCGCAAUAAUACCGUACAAAACGUAUCGAUGGUGAGAAAAGUUAGAAUAAUGGUGACCCCGGGAAUGGAAGGGGCACGAGGGAACCUACUGGGAGCUGGAAACGUUCUGUCUCUGGAUCUGUUUAAUUCUCAGGAUCAGCUGAAAAACUCUGAGAAGACAGAGGUAAAAUAUUGCCUCCCCUACAAUUCCUGGUGACAAUGAUGGGACAUCAGUGACCGUAACACUAAGAGAUCAGGUCCCAUCUGAUCAAAGGCCAGGAGAAGGAAACAGAACGCCGCAAUGACCACUGGUGCAUGUUCGCUCAGACUGGAGAUCUCUGAGAAAACUCAAGGUUGCAGGGUUAAAAAUAACCCGAAAGGAUCAGAGUGAAAUGCCCUUGGAACGUGUGUGGUCAGUUCUAAAGUGCGCAGCAGAAGAUGUUUUGUAGAUAGGAAACCAGCUGUAAACAGCACACUGUGCACUCCCCUCUUUGUUUCCUUGUCCUGUAAAUUCUGUUUACAGUGCUUGACUAAUCCUGUAUACAUGGAGGAAUGUGCCUUACUACGCCCCUGCUGUAGAAGGUAUAUAAGAGUAUGGAAAAUAAACCUCGGCACCUCGGGCUGUUUGCUCGGGGUCCCCUGGGC
Long non-coding RNA from Zalophus californianus (California sea lion), 1030 nucleotides. RefSeq lists it as uncharacterized. The record is from RefSeq and is a predicted model, not a curated record. The transcript has 3 exons. Lineage: Eukaryota; Metazoa; Chordata; Mammalia; Carnivora; Otariidae.